UGGAGCAAGCGUUAUCCGGAUUUACUGGGUGUAAAGGGAGCGUAGGCGGCCAGACAAGUCUGAUGUGAAAGGCUGGGGCUCAACCCCAGGACUGCAUUGGAAACUGUGAGGCUAGAGUGUCGGAGAGGCAGGCGGAAUUCUUAGUGUAGCGGUGAAAUGCGUAGAUAUUAGGAAGAACACCAGUGGCGAAGGCGGCCUGCUGGACGAUGACUGACGCUGAGGCUCGAAAGCGUGGGGAGCAAA
RNAcentral lists this ribosomal RNA (243 nucleotides) under uncultured bacterium. Its description in RNAcentral is "partial 16S ribosomal RNA". It matches the Rfam family "Bacterial small subunit ribosomal RNA", at positions 530 to 772 of the family's 1533-position model. The record is from RNAcentral.